AACGCACGAGACCUGCGGACCUGCGGAAGGAUCAUUAGUGAACGCCCUCACGGGCUUAUAACUAUUCCAAACCUCUGUGAACCGUGCCCUUCGGGGCUAUUUUACAAACAUGGUGUAAUGAACGUCAUAUAUCGUAACAAAACAAAACUUUUAACAACGGAUCUCU
This 166-nucleotide unclassified non-coding RNA is filed under the name soil metagenome. RNAcentral's name for it is "partial contains 5.8S ribosomal RNA, internal transcribed spacer 2, and large subunit ribosomal RNA". The record is from RNAcentral.